RNAcentral lists this ribosomal RNA (423 nucleotides) under uncultured bacterium. RNAcentral's name for it is "bacterial SSU rRNA". It matches the Rfam family "Bacterial small subunit ribosomal RNA", at positions 357 to 772 of the family's 1533-position model. The record is from RNAcentral.
GGGAAUCUUCCGCAAUGGGCGAAAGCCUGACGGAGCAACGCCGCGUGAGUGAUGAAGGUCUUCGGAUCGUAAAACUCUGUUGUUAGGGAAGAACAAAUUUGUUAGUAACUGAACAAGUCUUGACGAUACCUAACCAGAAAGCCACGGCUAACUACGUGCCAGCAGCCGCGGUAAUACGUAGGUGGCAAGCGUUAUCCGGAAUUAUUGGGCGUAAAGCGCGCGUAGGCGGUCUCUUAAGUCUGAUGUGAAAGCCCACGGCUCAACCGUGGAGGGUCAUUGGAAACUGGGAAACUUGAGUGCAGAAGAGGAGAGUGGAAUUCCAUGUGUAGCGGUGAAAUGCGCAGAGAUAUGGAGGAACACCAGUGGCGAAGGCGGCUCUCUGGUCUGUAACUGACGCUGAUGUGCGAAAGCGUGGGGAUCAAA